Molecule: ribosomal RNA, 253 nt
Filed under: uncultured bacterium
Lineage: Bacteria
Description: partial 16S ribosomal RNA
Rfam family: Bacterial small subunit ribosomal RNA
Source: RNAcentral
GACGUAGGGCGCAAGCGUUGUCCGGAAUUAUUGGGCGUAAAGAGCUCGUAGGCGGUUUGUCGCGUCGAAUGUGAAAACCCGGGGCUCAACCCCGGGCCUGCAUUCGAUACGGGCAGACUAGAGGUAGGUAGGGGAGAUCGGAAUUCCUGGUGUAGCGGUGAAAUGCGCAGAUAUCAGGAGGAACACCGGUGGCGAAGGCGGAUCUCUGGGCCUUACCUGACGCUGAGGAGCGAAAGCGUGGGGAGCAAACAGG